GCCAACGUAAAUUAACCCACCACAGGCAGCUGACUGGGGAAGGUCGCUAGCCUAAUCCUCGAACUCAUCGAAGUCCUGGAACUCCUGGAGAUCCGCCUCGACGCUUCUUCUUUACCUGAGCAUAGAUUGCACCAAAGGCAACCUGGUGUUUUGUGAAAGCAAGGGUGAGUACACAUCAACGUACUCAGCAAAUGUCCCGUUUGGCUGAAGUGGACUAGCUUUAUGUGGGGUUAAGGUCAAAGCAGUUGCUUUUAGUUAGUCAGGUAUUUAUUAUUAAUGGAAGCCAAGUUUUAUCAUAUAACCAACCCGUGAACCAUUUCCUCAUCGAGGAAACACCAUUAUCAUCAUCGAACCAGAAUAAUAAAUAGAACCAUUGUGUCUCAGAUCAUUUGUAUCUCUAAUCAAAGAGGAUCUCAAGGCCGCUCAUAACCGUGAGCACGGCUGAUAUAUCAGUUUCUAACCCUCUGCAGAGGUCGCACACUUUACCCAUGAGCCGUGAUUCCCGUUUUGCCCAGGGAUCAUGACUCCCCAUUGAUCACUUCCUAGGUGGUCCGGCAGGGUAUCACUACGUAGCCUUUACAAAGAUUCCCUAGAGGUCAUAGCCGCCCGUUAGGUUUCUCCAGUUUGAUAAACACAGCACUCCUCCCCGCAGGAGGGUGACUAACAAAAGCAAAACGAAAGAACCUCGGCACCCAGCCUCGGUAGAGCAAGCACUGUGCCUGGACCCCAUUGACGGCACGACGGCGAAGCAACUACACCUCUAGUUCCUCUAAUUAAUUAGCUAAGGGCAUCCCAUUUCACCCUCAUGGUUGCACUGUUAUCCCGGGUGGUCUCUCAACGAACAGGUCCUUACGGAGAGGUACUCGGGAAACAGCCCGAGUCCCCUUAAAUGCCACGAGUAUAUCAUCAUAUCGAGAAUAAAAUCGUAGUAUCAUCAUUGUAUCUCAUCAUGUUCAUUGAUUAAAGUAAAGCGCUAGCAUGUAGCUAACCAUAGUAACCCAAAAGGUAAAUCAAGGACAAGGUAAAUAGAAAGCUAGUAAAUCCUUAGGUUUCAAUUAAGUAGUGCGGGACAGUGAAUUAUAAACAGAUAGGACAUAAUGGGUCAGAGGACACUUGCCUUCACCAAACUGAUGCUCAGGUCUUCAAUCUCGUGGAACUCAAAGAACUGGAUCACUUGGUUGCCCACGCUUGAUCUUUGAUUCCUCGAAGCUCGAAAACGGAUCGCAAUCUAUUCGCGACGCAAAGCGAAGACAAACAGGCACAAGCAAACAAAUAUAUAUAUGCAUAAGAACAUUACACCAUACAAGAUAAAACAUUAUAGAAACGAGCAAUAUAAAAUAGAGAGCGCUUCUACGGUUACGCGAGGAUAAGAAACACGACGGUCAAGCUACAGUCGAGAAGUUAUCGCGUUUACGUUAAACAAAUAUUAACUAUAAUGUUUUAAUUUGACAAUAUCAAAUAUAAAUAAUUUCUACCAUUUAGUUUCGAUUAAUCUGCUACACUAACAGCUAUCAGUUAAAUAAGUAAUUUAAUUAAAACGAGAGAUUCUAAGUGAGGCGAAUCUAGGACGUGCGAAACAACACGACAGCGCGCGAACGAUGCGGGCACACACGCGACAUAGCACACGAACGACGCACAAGACAGCGCGCGCGACUAGCACGAACGACGCGCGAAACAGCACGCCACUGCGUGCUGAACAACACGCGCGACAGAGCGCGCGGACGACGCACGAACACACGUGACACUCGCGAACGACACGCGACAACGCGUGUGAACGGCACGCGCGACACACGCAAAACAACGUGCACGACAGUGCGCGACACACGAGCCAACGCGACUACGCGAACGACGUCGCGCGAACAGCUUGACGACGCGCAAACGAUGCUGCAGGCGAACAACACAACUACGAGCACAACAAACAAUUAAUUAAACAAAAGUACUUAAACUAAUAUUAAAUAAGUUAAUUAACAUUUAUAUUUAUAAAAGCACGAGUUAAAAUUAUAGACCCGUUAUAAUUAAAUUGUCAUUAUAAAUAAUCCCGACAACUAAACAAGAAUGGACCAAUCAGCGCGAGCGACUAUAACAAAAAUAAUUGAAUAACGUGUGGACAUCGUGAAACAGCGCACGAGGGCGACAGCUACAACGGCGCACGACAGCUCGCUCGACCGAGCGAGGGCACCCGGCAAGCACAACACGAUGACAUAGCGCGCGCAGAGCGGGCAACGGCGAGGCGAGCGGCGCGAAUGCGCGCACGCAGGGGGUAGACGAACGAGUUCUAGGGGGUAGAUGGAGGGGUAGCCAGACGCCAUCAGAGUCCCGACGACAUGCCACGUAUAUGUGAAAGCGAGUGCGCGCUAGCUGCGAGGAGGUGUUUUGGGGCUGUUGCGCACACGGUUCGGCAAAUUGCGUCGCGCGGGGGGGGGCAUGCAUAGGGGUAGACGCCUGCUGCCCAUCUCGACGAGCGAGGAUACGGGUAUGGCUCGACGACGAACGACGCGCACAGAGGCUGGGUUGAGGGCGCGCAGGACACGACGCAACGACGUGUGGGGGACACUUGGCCGUGCUGGCUGCGAGGAACUCAUGUGAGGGGGGAUCGACAGGGGGAGUUUGCACCACGGCCAUGCUGGGACAGACUGCGCAACGGCAGCGGCUCGCCGUGGCGGCCGGACGGGCAUGGAGCGAGGGUGGCCAGGCGGGCUGCUCACGCGAGGAGGCUCCGGCUGCACGUCGGCCUGCUAUUAGCUACGCGUUGAUAGGAAAGAGAAGCGAGAGGAGAGAGGGAGAAGAAGAGGAGCUCACCUCAUGCUCGCAACGUCGGCCGGCGGUGCUGCGAAUCGGCACGAACAGCAGUGGCGAGCGUGCAGGGAGCGGCGACUGGGCAGCGCGCGCUAGGGGCGGCGGCUGGGCGAGCGUGCGCUAGGGUUCGCGCUGCGCGCGCGAGUGGCUGUGCAGCGGCUGGGCGAGCGGCGCGCGCUGGGCUGGGGCGCGGAGGCAGCAGCUGGCGCGCGGCUGGGCCACGAAAGCAGGCCGGGGUGGGGGUGCACCUGGGCCGUUCGUGAAGGACGAGCUGGGCCGAGUGAUUUGAG
Molecule: long non-coding RNA, 3086 nt
Filed under: Zea mays
Lineage: Eukaryota; Viridiplantae; Streptophyta; Magnoliopsida; Poales; Poaceae
Description: long non-coding RNA (ZMAY_LNC002785)
Source: RNAcentral